This 6288-nucleotide long non-coding RNA is filed under the name Coffea arabica (coffee). Its description in RNAcentral is "long non-coding RNA (CARA_LNC004962)". Lineage: Eukaryota; Viridiplantae; Streptophyta; Magnoliopsida; Gentianales; Rubiaceae. The record is from RNAcentral.
GAAAUUAUUGGGCUAGUGCACAUAUUGUUAGCAGAAAUAGCAAUACUACAAAUGGAUUAGGCAUCAUCAAUUACUAUCCAAAUCAUCCCAAAAGAAAUCCCCCCACGAGUCCCCCGGUUGGACCUCGAUGGAACGAUACAGCUCCCAGAAUUGCUCAAAGUCAAGCAAUCAAAGCUCUCAAAGGCUACAUCCAUACCCCUCCACAGACAACAGAUAGAGUAAUUGUUAUGCUCAACACACAAAACAGGAUAGAUGGUCAUGUCCGUUGGUCUGUCAACAAUGUCUCAUUUGGCCUUCCUGAGACACCUUACCUCAUAGCCCUUAAACAAAAUUUUCUACAUGCUUUCGAGCAAACCCCUCCUCCAGAAGGAUACGAUGCUGCCAACUACGACAUCUAUAGUGUUGCCAAGAAUGUAAAUGCCACGACAAGCAACUCGAUUUAUCGGCUCAAGUUCAACUCGACAGUUGAUGUAAUCUUGCAGAAUGCAAACACAAUGACUGUGAAUAACAGUGAAACACAUCCUUGGCAUCUUCACGGGCAUGAUUUUUGGGUCCUGGGCUAUGGUACAGGCAAGUUUAACAUCUCAACUGAUCCCAAGAAGUACAACCUUGUCAAUCCGAUAAUGAAGAAUACAGUGCCUGUUCAUCCUUAUGGCUGGACUGCAUUGAGAUUCAGAGCUGAUAAUCCAGGUGCUUGGCUAUUCCAUUGCCAUAUUGAAGCUCAUUUCUUCCAGGGCAUGGGAGUGAUAUUUGAAGAAGGGGUGGAGAAGGUAGGAAGAUUGCCCACAUCUAUAAUGGGAUGCGGUGAAACAAAACGCUUUUUCAAGCCGUAGAGAAAUAAAAGAAAUACAAGCUGAAGAUAUGUAGCACAAAAGAUUCAAGCCGCUUUUUCUUGUAUGUAGCACAAAAGAUUCUUGAAAUCCCUUAUUUUUUUCAAUAAUGUUUUCCCGAAACAAAAGUCUAGACUUUUGGUUUAUAUUUUUUUUGCAUUAUUGUUUGAUCGGCAUUUGCGGCGAAGGACAGUUUCUCUAUGCUUUUUAACUUCAAAAACUGUUUGAUUCUUUAGCGGAAAUUCUCUCUUUCUUUGCGCAAAUAAAACUUUGAUCAAGCUAAUAAAGUGGUUAAGCAAGUCAAGUAUGUCAAAUACUGUAUUUUAUUCCCUCCUCCCCUCUAAUUUAGGGAGGAUUUUCCUUGUUAAGUUCUGGAUAAUUUUCUCCUAGGCACCAUUUUCACAUAUCACAACGGAAUCUUUCAUCCUAUUGUGCUACUCUCUAUCCCAUUUUUAUUAUAUUAUUAUUAUUUUUCAUAAACAUCAUAUUUUAAUUCUUUUUUGUUUCUUAAGAUCCAAUAACUAUUAACAAAAUAGUGAAAAAAUAAAAAAUAAAAGAAAGUCGUGAAAAAGAAAAAAAAAGGGAGUGAAUAAACAAAAAAUAGUAAGGGCAAUUUUGUCUUAAAAUAUUAAAUAUGGAGGCAAAAUGCUUAUUUAAUGAGUUCAGAAGGGGUAAAAUGUAACCAAGGUAAAGUUCAAGGGGUUUGGUGCAUUUAACCCUUAGGCAUGAGUCAAUGGAGCUUCCCAUGCAUGAUAGGCAACUGCCUGCAUGGAGCUUUCCUGGUCGUGACCUGUGAUGCUAACACAUGAAUAAAGCCUUCCUUUAGGCACAAGUCGAUGGAGAAUCUUCCACUUCAUCGAGUCUACUUGGUUGUUCUUAGAUAUUUUUUUUUACGCGCAGGGGCGGAGCCAGAAAAAUAUCUUAGUGGAGGCAAAAAUAACAAUAAAAUUUUUUACCUACUUUUUUUCUAAUUUUUAAGCAAAAAAAAAAAAAUCUCAUGCAUAAAAUCACCAUUUCACAAGUUAAAAUAUUUAUCAAAUAACCCAUUUAUUAGUUAUUACAUUAACUAAUCAAUUUUCAAAUUUCUUUAAAACAGUAAUAGCCUCAUGCUCUAGAAAUAUAUUUGCAAACAAAUUUAAAAUAAUAAUAAUAAUAAGAAGUAAUUGUUUAGAACCUGAUUUUGAUGGUCUCCUAAAGUUGGUGAAAAGAGCUGCAAAAUGUGGCGGAUCCAAGUUCUAGAAGAUCAGUUGAUUCUGGUGUAAUCUCUAAAUAGGAUGAAGUGAUCAAAAGAAAGAGUAACAAGCUUUGGUUGUGGAAAAAAAAUGGCCCUCCUAUUGGGGCGUGGGGACAACCGAGAGUCUGAUGAGAAAAGGAAAAUUGGGGAGUUGGGACAAAGGAAGUAAAUGAUAAUUGGAUGAAGUGAUAAAAAAAAAAAUAGUUGGCUUGGGUGUGGAAGAAGAGGAGGAACCAGUUAUUAAGGGAAAUGGGGGACCACAGGAGUAAAGGGAACUUGGGGAGUGAGGACCAAAAGGAAUGACUGAUAUAAUUGGUACUUGGCCCGUUGGCCUUGUUGGUGGAAAAAUGGGAACUAGAGGGGGCAAGUGAAUGAUAUAAAUUUUGCGAUCCAUUCAUUCACAUUUUUUCUAAAAAAAUUCUGAAAACAUCUUUAAAAUUAUAUCAAAAUUAUAGAUAUAUUAUAGAAAUUUAAGGGACACCGUAGCGGCCCGUGCCCCCACUUUAAAUCCGCCCUUGUUUACGCGGUUUCACGACACGGAAACUGGAACCCAUUUUUGAGCUUUCAAAUCAUUUGUCUAUAAUUAAACAUAUCAUGAUAUCCCCUCUUUUAUUUAAUUAUUUUCUUUCAAUUUCGGCUAAUACAACAUAGCUUUAGCUAGAUCACCCUUUUUCUUUUAACGCGGUUUAGUGUUUUUCGGCCCCGCAAAAAGUAGAAUCUGAGAUCUAUUUGUAGUUUAUUUCUUAGCCAAGGAAGUAGAAAAAUGGCCAAUCAGCUUGUCUAGCGUACCGACAAUUGGUCAAAUCUAAGUAAAAGAAAAAGGUUCAAGCUACAAUUCUCGUUGAAAUAUCAUAUUCUUGUAUUCCUUGUCACGGCAGAGGGACAUCUCCCGUGUUGAAUCUUUUACCACCCAAAAUGACAAGCCCUGGCGCUUGGCCAAUAGCCAUUUGGCUUGUUGUCCCCAUGACUUUAAGUCUUCAUUGUUGGCGGAAGUUCAAAGGUUCAAAUUUUAUUUUUCGCUAGUAAUUUUUUAUGAUUUGUCACUUUCAAUGAUUUCAUCGGAUGAUAUUUUCAUAUCGGUUAAGUCCCUCCUCCUUCUAAAAUAAGAUAAAGAAAGUUAUAGAAAUAUUGAUAAAAAAAAAUAAAGUAGAUUAUAAAAAUGUUGACAAAAAAAAAAAGAAGAGAAAGCCUUGUUUUGACUGGCACAACUUGAAUCAAGGACUGUAUAAAUAUAGACACUGAUACAAUGAUAAUAAAAAUACAAUGAACUUUUACUCUCAUUGAAAUUUGUGUUAAACAGCUUUGUCGUAUUUUUAUAUAUAUUAUUGUGCGAAUGUCUACAUUUAUUGUUCCAAUAUCUAAUAUUUGUCAUGCCAUUGCCUAUGCUGCAUGGUACAAUUACCAUUCACAAUUAUAGAGAUAACUUAUCUCUGAAACUUCUUGUCGGAGUUAAAAAAGAAGUUUGCACCACAUAGGAUUCUUCGAAAAUGUAAAAUCCAAGAAAUACAUAAAUAGGGUUGGUUGGAGAUGGACUUUACCAAGUCAUACCCUUAGGAAGUCAAACAGGGGACGUAUUCCUCUUGGCAGUGCUGUUCCACUUACAGACGAGACCAAGUUGGCAUGUACAGAUUGGCAUUGCAACGACCAGAUCCGUUUCCCCUGCGGGUGCCGGAGGGGGAAAAAAUUUAUAAUAAAUAAGAAAUAUAUAAUUAAUAAAAAUAUAAUCAAUAAUUUAGUAUAAAUAUAUUAAUAUAAAUAUAUAAUUAUUAGCAUAAUUAAUAAUAUUAAAUAUGUUUUAUAUGUAUAUAGGGGACUAGGAAGGGGAUGAGACAGGAUCUCCUACCCCUUUUUUUUAGCGGAAGGUAAAAAUUACGAAAUUUCUGUUCUCAAAUUAGUCUCUAUUUCUUCUGUCUCUUCUUUAUAUAGCUGUCAUGUGUCUUUAAUUUUUUGAUAAUCCAAACUCAAACAAAUCGAUAAUAAUCGGUUAACAAGUUUACUCAAAACCAAAACUUGCAGUCUUUUUCUUCAUGCAAACUAGAGUUGAAAAAAUUUUGAUUAGGGAACCACCGCUUGAUUUAUCCAAAGAAAAAAAUAGUUUUAAGUUAUUGGAACCGCUUGAUUUAUCCAAAGGCAAAAAAGUUUUGAAUUAUCUGUUUUACUUGGUUUUGAGUAAACUUGUUAAUCAAUUAUUAUUGAUUUGUUUGAGUUUGUGUUAUUAAAAGAUUAGAGACACAUGACAACUAUAUAAAGAAGGAACAGAAAGGAUAUAAACUAAUUUGGGGACAGAAAAUUCGAAGCCGAAAAUUACCCGCAUGAACCCCGGGUGAGCACCCUUUUUAAUUGCCAUCCCUCUGUCAGGGGAAAUUGGAGGGCAAUUUCCUUCUUUUGAACGGUUGUAUUUUGGAACCUUCGUCUUGGUCGUCGUCUGCAACUUGGUCGUGGUCUUAGCUCUCAAGCUAUCAACUGCCUCCCUAUAUAUGUAGUUAUUUCUUGAUCAGCUCAAGAAAUUAGCAAGACAAGCUACCGUCCCGAGCUACAUUAUUGCUCUAAUCAAGACAUCAAAACUUGUGGACCGCUUGAACUUUUUCAAGAGAUCAUUGAGACAUGGCGGCUGAGCUUCUCCAAUGCAGAAGUUUAGCUAAAAACUUGGUGGGCUUGUGUUUGUUUUUGUGUUUGGCAUCUGCAGCGUUUCCUUCUGUUGAAGCUAAAGUUAGAUACCAUAAGUGGGAGGUGAAAUAUGAGUACAAGUCUCCUGAUUGCUACAAGAAGUUGGUGAUGACCAUCAAUGGAAGAAGUCCGGGACCAACCAUCAAUGCUCAGCAAGGUGAUACUAUUAUAGUUGAGCUCAAGAACAGCUUGCUACUUGAGAAUGUUGCCAUCCAUUGGCAUGGAAUCAGACAGGUAAUCAAGGAGAAAAUCUGACAUCUUCCUAUAUUUCUCUGUUCUCAAUAUUAUGGUUUCUUGAUGGUACAAGAUUUUAAUAUCUAUUCCUAUUUAUUGAGUGCAGCAUGGAACACCUUGGUCUGACGGGACAGAAGGGGUGACACAGUGUCCAAUUCUCCCAGGAGAUACCUUUACAUACAAGUUCAUAGUAGACAGAGUAAGUCCAAUGGUUGAUAUAGUCCCUUGCUUUAAUGCUACAUGCUUCAUUUACCAUAGAUUUGAUCUGAUUGGUAAAAUAUGUCACUUUUCUUGCAGCCUGGAACAUAUUUGUAUCAUGCACAUUAUGGUAUGCAAAGAGAAGCAGGGCUAUAUGGAAUGAUUAAGGUUUCACUUCCUGCUGGAGAGUCUGAGCCUUUUUCUUAUGACUAUGACCGCAGCAUCAUCCUUAAUGAUUGGUACCACAAGAGUGCUUAUGAACAAAUGACUGGGCUCAAUUCAAUACCCUUUGGUUGGGUUGGGGAACCUCAGGUAAUUAAUGCUUUAAUUUAGUAUUACAGUUGAUCAGUUUUAUGCAUCAAAAAGCUUGAGGCUAAUGGUUUUUCUUCAACAUUUUCAGUCAAUUUUGAUACAAGGCAAAGGAAAAUUCAACUGCAGCACACCGGGGAUCGAAGCCGGUCUUUGCAAUGCGACAAAUCCAGAGUGUUCCCCUUUCUCAUUGACAGUUGUUCCUGGCAAAACAUACAGGCUGAGGAUUGGAAGCUUGACCGGUCUUUCAGCCUUGAGUUUUGAAAUAGAGGUACAAAUUACUACAAUUUCUUACAAAUUUUCCUGUUAUCAAGAAUUUUUAAAGUACCCCUUCACAUGCUUUACCAGCUGGACCCAAAAUUUUUAAUUUCUAAAAGCCUAUCCGCAGAAUAAACAAUCAAGGCCGACUAGCCAAACACUUAUUAUCAUUAAAUAUUGAAUGUAGGGUCACAAUAUGACUGUUGUUGAAGCUGAUGGCAACAAUGUCGAGCCGUUUGUGGUCCAAAAUCUUUUCAUCUACUCUGGAGAGACAUACUCCGUCCUAAUCAAGGCUGAUCAAGACCCUUCGCGAAAUUAUUGGGCUAGUGCACAUAUUGUUAGCAGAAAUAGCAAUACUACCAAUGGAUUGGGCAUCAUCAAUUACUAUCCAAAUCAUCCCAGAAGAAAUCCCCCCACGAGUCCCCCGGUUGGACCUCGAUGGAACGAUACAGCUCCCAGAAUUGCUCAAAGUCAAGCAAUCAAAGCUCUCAAAGGCUACAUCCAUACCCCUCCACAGACAACAGAUAGAGUAAUUGUUAUGCUCAACACACAAAACAG